GUACGGACAAGCAGUGGGAGCACCCUUGGGGGUGUGACUGCGUACCUUUUGUAUAAUGGGUCAGCGACUUAUAUUCUGUAGCAAGGUUAACCGAAUAGGGGAGCCGGAGGGAAACCGAGUCUUAAUUGGGCGUUAAGUUGCAGGGUAUAGACCCGAAACCCGGUGAUCUAGCCAUGGGCAGGUUGAAGGUUGGGUAACACUAACUGGAGGACCGAACCGACUAAUGUUGAAAAAUUAGCGGAUGACCUGUGGCUGGGGGUGAAAGGCCAAUCAAACCGGGAGAUAGCUGGUUCUCCCCGAAAGCUAUUUAGGUAGCGCCUCGUGAAUUCAUCUCCGGGGGUAGAGCACUGUUUCGGCUAGGGGGCCAUCCCGGCUUACCAACCCGAUGCAAACUGCGAAUACCGGAGAAUGUUAUCACGGGAGACACACGGCGGGUGCUAACGUCCGUCGUGAAGAGGGAAACAACCCAGACCGCCAGCUAAGGUCCCAAAGUCAUGGUUAAGUGGGAAACGAUGUGGGAAGGCCCAGACAGCCAGGAUGUUGGCUUAGAAGCAGCCAUCAUUUAAAGAAAGCGUAAUAGCUCACUGGUCGAGUCGGCCUGCGCGGAAGAUGUAACGGGGCUAAACCAUGCACCGAAGCUGCGGCAGCGACGCUGAUGCGUUGUUGGGUAGGGGAGCGUUCUGUAAGCCUGCGAAGGUGGCCUGUGAGGGUUGCUGGAGGUAUCAGAAGUGCGAAUGCUGACAUAAGUAACGAUAAAGCGGGUGAAAAGCCCGCUCGCCGGAAGACCAAGGGUUCCUGUCCAACGUUAAUCGGGGCAGGGUGAGUCGACCCCUAAGGCGAGGCCGAAAGGCGUAGUCGAUGGGAAACGGGUUAAUAUUCCCGUACUUGGUGUUACUGCGAAGGGGGGACGGAGAAGGCUAUGUUGGCCGGGCGACGGUUGUCCCGGUUUAAGCGUGUAGGUGUGUGUUCCAGGUAAAUCCGGUUCACUUUAACACUGAGGCGUGAUGACGAGGCACUACGGUGCUGAAGCAACAAAUGCCCUGCUUCCAGGAAAAGCCUCUAAGCAUCAGGUAACAUCAAAUCGUACCCCAAACCGACACAGGUGGUCAGGUAGAGAAUACCAAGGCGCUUGAGAGAACUCGGGUGAAGGAACUAGGCAAAAUGGUGCCGUAACUUCGGGAGAAGGCACGCUGACACGUAGGUGAAGUGAUUUACUCAUGGAGCUGAAGUCAGUCGAAGAUACCAGCUGGCUGCAACUGUUUAUUAAAAACACAGCACUGUGCAAACACGAAAGUGGACGUAUACGGUGUGACGCCUGCCCGGUGCCGGAAGGUUAAUUGAUGGGGUCAGCGCAAGCGAAGCUCCUGAUCGAAGCCCCGGUAAACGGCGGCCGUAACUAUAACGGUCCUAAGGUAGCGAAAUUCCUUGUCGGGUAAGUUCCGACCUGCACGAAUGGCGUAAUGAUGGCCAGGCUGUCUCCACCCGAGACUCAGUGAAAUUGAACUCGCUGUGAAGAUGCAGUGUACCCGCGGCAAGACGGAAAGACCCCGUGAACCUUUACUAUAGCUUGACACUGAACAUUGAGCCUUGAUGUGUAGGAUAGGUGGGAGGCUUUGAAGUGUGGACGCCAGUCUGCAUGGAGCCGGCCUUGAAAUACCACCCUUUAAUGUUUGAUGUUCUAACGUGGACCCGUGAUCCGGGUUGCGGACAGUGUCUGGUGGGUAGUUUGACUGGGGCGGUCUCCUCCUAAAGAGUAACGGAGGAGCACGAAGGUUGGCUAAUCCUGGUCGGACAUCAGGAGGUUAGUGCAAUGGCAUAAGCCAGCUUGACUGCGAGCGUGACGGCGCGAGCAGGUGCGAAAGCAGGUCAUAGUGAUCCGGUGGUUCUGAAUGGAAGGGCCAUCGCUCAACGGAUAAAAGGUACUCCGGGGAUAACAGGCUGAUACCGCCCAAGAGUUCAUAUCGACGGCGGUGUUUGGCACCUCGAUGUCGGCUCAUCACAUCCUGGGGCUGAAGUAGGUCCCAAGGGUAUGGCUGUUCGCCAUUUAAAGUGGUACGCGAGCUGGGUUUAGAACGUCGUGAGACAGUUCGGUCCCUAUCUGCCGUGGGCGCUGGAGAACUGAGGGGGGCUGCUCCUAGUACGAGAGGACCGGAGUGGACGCAUCACUGGUGUUCGGGUUGUCAUGCCAAUGGCACUGCCCGGUAGCUAAAUGCGGAAGAGAUAAGUGCUGAAAGCAUCUAAGCACGAAACUUGCCCCGAGAUGAGUUCUCCCUGAGACUUAGAGUCUCCUGAAGGAACGUUGAAGACGACGACGUUGAUAGGCCGGGUGUGUAAGCGCAGCGAU
This 2344-nucleotide ribosomal RNA is filed under the name Salmonella enterica subsp. enterica serovar Schwarzengrund. Its description in RNAcentral is "bacterial LSU rRNA". It matches the Rfam family "Bacterial large subunit ribosomal RNA", at positions 560 to 2882 of the family's 2925-position model. The record is from RNAcentral. Lineage: Bacteria; Pseudomonadati; Pseudomonadota; Gammaproteobacteria; Enterobacterales; Enterobacteriaceae.